GGGGGGGACGGAGGAGAGAACACACCAGGGAGACACCUCAAACUCUACUCCUUUCUACCCCCUCCAUCAUCUACUGACUUGAUUGUCGGAGGGGUCGGGUCGAGCCACCUGACUCGACCUAUGUGUAGGACGACAGACGGAGCACGUGCCCAGCUGAGGAGCCCCCUCCGACGGAGACGACUGACCCCGUUCUGAUCGGACCGCCACAAUCGACCACCUCGGCGAACCCGAGGGCCACACCGGGAAGAUCCCGCCAUCCGGACCCGAACCGAGCCGCAUCGGCCCCGAGGCCACGGCUCCAGGUUGUUUACCACAACAAUUAUAAUGACCGACGGUGUACUCCUACCAGCUUCUAUGUCAACAAAACAAGCCUUUGUGCUGAAAGCAACGGCGUUGGAUUGUGCACGUAGGCGUUCGAGUUGGGUCGGAUUCGUGGCCAACAGUAACCCAAUCUUCGGUGCGAAUCGAUCCUACUAACCCAAUCCAGUGAAUGAAUGUGCGAUUGAGCAUGCCAUGGCACCUAAAGUCAAACGCACAGAAGAACUUACCAGUUGAGAGCCUGUUUCAUUUCCAAGUCAAACACACAUCCUUGCAAGAUUCAACCAUUACACGAGAACAAGAUUCAUGUGCAUUUCACAUGCCCUGAACGGCUGAAGCCACCGGAAUCAACACCGUCCCCAUAAGUGCAUUUCCGAGUUCUUAGCCGAUGGUGCAACCUGUGGUGUACGUGUGCCAUGAGCAACAGUUCAAAAUAAUAUAAUUCACAUUCCUUUAAUUAUUAUUUUUUCUUCUCCUCUCGUCGGUAAAUUAAUUGUUUGGAAAAUAUUAUGGUCGAUACACCAAAAGAAAAAAAAAAAGGAAAAAUUCUACUUCAUACCUCUUCGAUAUCUGUCUGGAUUAUCUGCAUGUUGGAUCUCACCGCUUGCCUACACAGUGCAGCGAUAUCCAGAUAGAUAGAAACGGAUCAAAG
This 970-nucleotide long non-coding RNA is filed under the name Musa acuminata (dwarf banana). RNAcentral describes it as "long non-coding RNA (MACU_LNC004464)". The record is from RNAcentral. Lineage: Eukaryota; Viridiplantae; Streptophyta; Magnoliopsida; Zingiberales; Musaceae.